Molecule: ribosomal RNA, 347 nt
Filed under: uncultured bacterium
Lineage: Bacteria
Description: partial 16S ribosomal RNA
Rfam family: Bacterial small subunit ribosomal RNA
Source: RNAcentral
CCUACGGGGGGCAGCAGUCGAGAAUCAUUCACAAUGGGGGAAACCCUGAUGGUGCGACGCCGCGUGGGGGAAUGAAGGUCUUCGGAUUGUAAACCCCUGUCAUGUGGGAGCAAAUUAAAAAGAUAGUACCACCAGAGGAAGAGACGGCUAACUCUGUGCCAGCAGCCGCGGUAAUACAGAGGGCUCAAGCGUUGUUCGGCAUCACGGGGCGUAAAGCGUUCGUAGGCUGUUUCGUAAGUCGUGUGUGAAAGGCGCGGGCUGAACCCGCGGAAGGAACAUGAUACUGCGAGACUAGAGUAAAGGAGAGGGAACCGGAAUUCUCGGUGUAGCAGUGAAAUGCGUAGAUA